UACGAAGGGGGCUAGCGUUGUUCGGAAUUACUGGGCGUAAAGCGCGCGCAGGCGGCUUGGUAAGUUGGGGGUGAAAUCCCUGGGCUCAACCCAGGAAUGGCCUUCAAGACUGCUUGGCUGGAGUACGAGAGAGGUGAGUGGAAUUCCCAGUGUAGAGGUGAAAUUCGUAGAUAUUGGGAAGAACACCGGUGGCGAAGGCGGCUCACUGGCUCGUAACUGACGCUCAUGCACGACAGCGUGGGGAUCAAACAGG
Molecule: ribosomal RNA, 253 nt
Filed under: uncultured bacterium
Lineage: Bacteria
Description: partial 16S ribosomal RNA
Rfam family: Bacterial small subunit ribosomal RNA
Source: RNAcentral